This is a long non-coding RNA of Dermochelys coriacea (leatherback sea turtle), 2042 nucleotides long. RefSeq lists it as uncharacterized. NCBI's taxonomy places the organism in Eukaryota, Metazoa, Chordata, Testudines, Dermochelyidae. The transcript has 3 exons. The record is from RefSeq and is a predicted model, not a curated record.
GACACCCCCUUCCCCCAGGCCCGUUCCCGCUACCUCCCUCAUUCCUCAAUGCUAAUUGGAGGGGAUGAUAAUGUAACCGCCGUCGCUGAUUGGCUGCUGAUCCCAUCCAUCAGAUAGCGCUGGAGAGCAAUUCGCCCCUUCGAUUGGUCAACGAUGGGGAGGAGGCGGUCCAGAGCGCGAGUAAGAAGGAGCUCUCCCAUUGGCUGCCAACGAUGUGUCAAUCAAGUGGCGUGUUGAGCGUGUCCGUGCGGUUUGGUGGCGGCUCAGGAGGCAGGGCCCGGGGAUGAAGAAGGGGGUGGGGAGCGGUUGUUGCUUAUAAAACGGGGGCACUUCCUGUCCAACGUGACAGCUUCCGCCGAACCCUGAACGGGCGGGGGCGACACAGGCAGGGCGCUUGUCGCGUGGUCUCCUUGGCCGCCGCUGGCCGGCGGGUCCCUAGGCCGGACCUCGGGAGUCCACGUCAUCCCCGCUCUCAGCAGCGGCCCCUCCCCUGGCUCCGCCCAGGGCAGGCUCCGCCGGGGCCACGUGGGCGCGCAGAGGCCCCCGGCCCCCCUUGGGAGAGGUCAGCGCUGCGGCGGCCGCGCCCCGGGGGUCCGGAGUGGCUCGCUCUGCCGCGGCUGGGUGCGGCGCCUGCUGGCUCGCCGGGCUGCCCUGCGGCGUACCUCCGGUGGGCGAGACACGGCUUGAUCAUUGAUGAAAAUGUUGACUAGUGAUGGGCCUCGUACUGAUCCCUGUGGAACUCCACUAGAACCACCCCCCUUCGAGGAUGAUUCUCCAUUUGCAACUACUUUUUGAGACAAUUUUGGGGGUUCUGUCUGUACCAGUUCUGAACUGUGGAUGAUUUUAUGAAAUUGUUUUAUGAAGUUACCUUGUCAUGGAAUGUUUAUAUGGAUGUGGAUCCCCCGUGAGUUAACAGGAUUGUGUCAUGUCUCUGCCAGACCAGAGACAAUGGUGAGUGAUCAGAACUCAACAAUGGUCUAUUCAAAAUAAAAUACCUUAGGACAAUGAGUUUGGUUUAGCUGGGAGAAGACACUUCCUCCUCUUGUCUGAAGGUUUGAGAGUAAUGGGAAGUGACCAGAAGCAGAACAAAAGAAGCAAGGGAUCCCAGCAGGAGUCUAUAAAGGAUUCACAGGGAGAGACAUGUUUUGCACCAGAUUAAAAUGAGGGAGGCUGCUGCAACGGUAGGGUAGACAAGGGGAUGGAGGUUCCCUCCCUGCCUACCUGCCUGAUGGAACACUGAUGAACCCCCAAGAACUCCGAAGGGACAGCUGCAAAAGUGGUCUUGAGGGUCUCUCCAUCCACACCAGCAGAGCGGCUCAGCCAGAAAAAGAGAAAGAAGAGGAUAAGGGAAGACAUGUUUCAGGAGAUCCUGUGUGCCUCAGUGCUUUGGAUACUGAGCAGAGGGCUUGGAGGAUGAUGCUCGAGGACACAAGGGACAGGGAUAGUGAAGACAGGAGAAACAGGCAGCAAGAGAUGAUAAUGCUUCUCAGGGAGCAAACAGACAUGCUGCAGUUUCUGACUGAUCUUCAAGCUCAACAGAUCUGUGCUUGCCUCUCCCUGCAGCCUACGGAGAAUUGCAUUCCAGGACUUCCUUACACACCCCUUCCUUUACUACAUUGCAUCCAGGGCCAGUGCAAUACCCACUCCACCCUGGGAGAAGAGUACAGACAAUUACACCUGCACAUACACUGACCUGUGAGAGACACAGUUGAUAUAUGUGUGUUUGUGAAAUGGAAAUGACUGUUAUUUCCCCUUCAGAGGUUCUUUUCCCUGUAUUUAUAAAGUUUCAUUCAGUUAUAAAUACGUCUGUUGGAAUAAAAGUCUAUUUAUGGAAACUUAAUUCAUCUUUAUUAGUUCACAACAUAUGCUGGCUGGGGCUGACUUCAUUCACAGAUAAUACCAAUAGAGGCCGUUGCAAUGUUAUAUUACUACACACACAGCACUCAUUACAAAGCUCAUAUCAUGGUGAAAAAAAAAAAACGAUGCCAGACACAGCACAGUACGGCAACACACAUUACUGUGUCUCAUUGUUAAAUGGCCUU